AGUGAACGCUGGCGGUAGGCCUAACACAUGCAAGUCGAACGGCAGCACAGUAAGAGCUUGCUCUUACGGGUGGCGAGUGGCGGACGGGUGAGGAAUACAUCGGAAUCUACUUUUUCGUGGGGGAUAACGUAGGGAAACUUACGCUAAUACCGCAUACGACCUACGGGUGAAAGCAGGGGAUCUUCGGACCUUGCGCGAUUGAAUGAGCCGGUGUCGGAUUAGCUAGUUGGCGGGGUAAAGGCACACCAAGGCGACGAUCCGUAGCUGGUCUGAGAGGAUGAUCAGCCACACUGGAACUGAGACACGGUCCAGACUCCUACGGGAGGCAGCAGUGGGGAAUAUUGGACAAUGGGCGCAAGCCUGAUCCAGCCAUACCGCGUGGGUGAAGAAGGCCUUCGGGUUGUAAAGCCCUUUUGUUGGGAAAGAAAAGCAGCAGGUUAAUACCCCGCUGUUCUGACGGUACCCAAAGAAUAAGCACCGGCUAACUUCGUG
RNAcentral lists this ribosomal RNA (492 nucleotides) under uncultured bacterium. RNAcentral's name for it is "partial 16S ribosomal RNA". It matches the Rfam family "Bacterial small subunit ribosomal RNA", at positions 29 to 507 of the family's 1533-position model. The record is from RNAcentral.